GUGGGUACAAAAAGUUUUUGGAGCCACAGAGGGGGUCCUCCAUCCCCAGGAAUUCGAGGUGGAGACAGACAAAGAGGAAGGACUCUGCAGACCAGACCAAGGGAAACAGUUCGCAAACAUGCCCAGAAGACAUGGAAUUGACUGACGCAGAGGAAUUUGAAGAAAAUGGCAGUUACUUUGAUAAUGCUACACCAGAAAGACAGCAUUCACAACAUUGGCAAGAGGACAUGGAAUUAAGUGGCGCCCAGUCAAAUGUAGGUUGACUGUACACAUAUUUGUCCAUGUUCUUUUGAUAUCAUUCACAUCAAUUAAAUUGAAUUAGGCCUAAUUGUUAUCCACUGAUUUUACUGACAGGAAUUUGAGGAUGAUGACAGUCACAAUGAUGCUAGAACAGAAGUAAGUCCUGUGCAUAGAUAGGCCUACACAACACUAGUCAG
Molecule: long non-coding RNA, 437 nt
Organism: Alosa sapidissima (American shad)
Lineage: Eukaryota; Metazoa; Chordata; Actinopteri; Clupeiformes; Clupeidae
Exons: 3
Source: RefSeq, a predicted model, not a curated record